RNAcentral lists this long non-coding RNA (367 nucleotides) under Heterocephalus glaber (naked mole-rat). Its description in RNAcentral is "lncRNA (ENSHGLG00000035584.1)". Lineage: Eukaryota; Metazoa; Chordata; Mammalia; Rodentia; Bathyergidae. The record is from RNAcentral.
AUCUUCUCAGAUUUCGUCCCUGGUGGAACAAAGUGUAAGGUCAGCACUCAGAGGCUUUGACAGUCCCUGUUUUGGAACCAAACCAUAGAACCACUUGACCACUGAAGAGAGCUCUCUUUAAACAGGAGCUGCUGUCUCCAUCGUGAAGAUGCUGGGCAGGGGGGCACAUGGAAGAGUGUAAAAUAAUUUGAAUGAAGUCAAGACACUCGCCCUUUUGGCAAACUCUUGGCCUUGAACAUGUGGCAGCCACAUGGACUGGAUUUUCAGAACUUUGGGGGUGUCAGUUGUUCUGUUACACUGAGAAGUUCCUGAGUUUGGGCAUCUAAAUUUCAUUUUAUUCAUUUCAUUUAAAUUUCAGACAUUUGGG